GUCUUUAAUUGUCCAUCAUUAGUUGGGCACUUUAAAGAGGACUGCCGGUGUUAAGCCGGAGGAAGGUGGGGGAGUGACGUCAAGUCCUCAUGGCCUUUAUGCCCAGGGCUACACACGUGCUACAAUGGGCGGUACAAAGAGAAGCAACCUCGCGAGGGUGAGCAAAUCUCAAAAAGCCGUUCUCAGUUCGGAUUGAAGUCUGCAACUCGACUUCAUGAAGUCGGAAUCGCUAGUAAUCGCGGAUCAGCAUGCCGCGGUGAAUACGUUCCCGGGCCUU
This 277-nucleotide ribosomal RNA is filed under the name uncultured Syntrophaceae bacterium. Its description in RNAcentral is "partial 16S ribosomal RNA". It matches the Rfam family "Bacterial small subunit ribosomal RNA", at positions 1107 to 1382 of the family's 1533-position model. The record is from RNAcentral. Lineage: Bacteria; Pseudomonadati; Thermodesulfobacteriota; Syntrophia; Syntrophales; Syntrophaceae.